Molecule: non-coding RNA, 803 nt
Organism: Callithrix jacchus (white-tufted-ear marmoset)
Lineage: Eukaryota; Metazoa; Chordata; Mammalia; Primates; Cebidae
Source: RefSeq, a predicted model, not a curated record
UCUUGGUCUGCUUCACAGCUCCAUGGGAACAUGCCACUAUAAGUGUUUGAAAAGAAUACACUUCUGAGACAUUUGCAUUUUCAGAAAGCUUUCUGUAGAGGGCCAAGCCUUGGAGCUUGUGAAUGAGGCCUUUCUGUGUGUGUGGCUCCUUGCUAAUAGUACAGGGGAAAGGAGAGAAAGGAGGCACUUUUCAUUCCCCCAGCAGCUGCAGGCCGAGGAUGCCUAGAGCCUGGAGGGUUCAGUUUGUGUGUUUUGAAUCUCUUCUCCCCUGGAGGUUUCCAGGGAGCUGCUUUGCAUGAGAUAAACACUUGGCCUGAUUCCCAAUUCCACAGGCCUCUCUUCCAGACUUUGCCGCCUCCUGUCGCCUCUAGGAUACGGCCUUGUGGGUCUAUCCUGCAAGGGGGGACACUGGCCAUGACAGAAGGAUGGAGCCUGGCUGUUUGGUGUUCAUAUGGGGCUCAGCCCCACACUCAGCGCUCACGCAAACAUGGUGAACGUUCCCAAAACCUGCUGGACUUUCUGUAAGAAGAGUGGCAAGCACCAACCCCACAAAGCGACAGAGUACAAGGAGGGCAAGGAUUCUCUGUGUGCCCAGGGAGAGCGGCGUUAUGACAGGAAGCAGAAUGGCUGUGGUGGGUACACUAAGCUGAUUUUCCAGAAAAAGGCUAGAACUACAAAGAAGAUUUGCUAAUGUUUAAGUGCGUGGAGCCCAACUGCAGAUCUAAGAGAAUGCUGGCUGUUUCUUUUCUUUUAUGAAGACAAUAAAAUGUUGAGUUUAUGUUCAAAAAAAAAAAAAAAAGAAA